GCCUCCUUCCAGUACCAGUGCGUGGAUGCAAAGCCGUUUCCCACAGACCUUCACACAGGCCAAUUGUGAGCUCAGCAAGUAGGAAAAGCAUACAUUGGUCAGGAGCAGUAGCAUACGACACUAUAAAGAAAGGGAAAUCCUAGUGUGAAAAGGAAAGCUGAAUUGCUGAUUUCCAAUCAUCAUUUCAAAGGGAAAGAGAGGACAUGCAGGACAGUUGUAGCAUCA
Choloepus didactylus (southern two-toed sloth) is the source of this 225-nucleotide long non-coding RNA. RefSeq lists it as uncharacterized. The record is from RefSeq and is a predicted model, not a curated record. Lineage: Eukaryota; Metazoa; Chordata; Mammalia; Pilosa; Megalonychidae. The transcript has 3 exons.